Molecule: ribosomal RNA, 301 nt
Filed under: uncultured bacterium
Lineage: Bacteria
Description: partial 16S ribosomal RNA
Rfam family: Bacterial small subunit ribosomal RNA
Source: RNAcentral
CAGCCGCCGCGGGAAUACGAAGGGGGCUAGCGUUGUUCGGAAUUACUGGGCGUAAAGCGCACGUAGGCGGACAUUUAAGUCAGGGGUGAAAUCCCGGGGCUCAACCCCGGAACUGCCUUUGAUACUGGGUGUCUAGAGUAUGGAAGAGGUGAGUGGAAUUCCGAGUGUAGAGGUGAAAUUCGUAGAUAUUCGGAGGAACACCAGUGGCGAAGGCGGCUCACUGGUCCAUUACUGACGCUGAGGUGCGAAAGCGUGGGGAGCAAACAGGAUUAGAGACCCCGGUAGUCCCUGUCUCUUAUAA